Molecule: long non-coding RNA, 20251 nt
Filed under: Coffea arabica (coffee)
Lineage: Eukaryota; Viridiplantae; Streptophyta; Magnoliopsida; Gentianales; Rubiaceae
Description: long non-coding RNA (CARA_LNC007635)
Source: RNAcentral
AUGUACUACAGAACUUUCGAGUUAGCUAUGCCUAGUAUCUUGCAUGAUCUGAAACCUCAGACAUCGGUAUCUUUCUUUCUCUUUUGACUCCUUUCUCUUGGUUUCAAUACAGAGUACAGAAUAUAGAGCUCCUGAUAUUUCUGUCAGUGUAUUCUUCAGUGGUGAACCAUGCACAUUAGGUAGAGGUGUUCGAAAUUAGUUUACACCAGAAGUGGAUAUACUACUUGACCUCUGCUUUGUCAUGUAAUCUAGCUCUCAUUAAAUGAAUAAGGAUGAGCUAAAGAGAUACUAGUGGCUUAGGAGUUACAUUUUCUGUUCAAAUCUUGGAGAUAGCAAUGAUGUGUAUAUAUUGGCACCGUGAUACAUACCUUUUGUUGGUGACCAUUCAGGCCUUUUCUUUUCAAGUUGCUUUCAGAACGCAUGUGUAGGAAAAACAUGUCCUGGUUUCUUUUCGACUAAAACAACUCUUUAUUCAAUAAAGUACAUUGUUUUUGCCUUUAGUUUUAAUUUUCUUUAAGAUGUCUAUUUCAUGAGAACUGGAGUUUUAAGGGGUGAGAUACAACGAAAACUGCAUGGCUACGGGAGCUGAAUUCGCUUCACAUGCCGGCAGACAGCGGGGAAAUAAUAAAAAAAUAUUUGUGGCUACGGCCCUAAGAUAAAAGCAUCUAUGGUCCAAGUUAUUGAUCCAGGAGAUGGGACUAGCUGAAGGGGUAAUUGGAUAAGUGAGUGACAGCCAAUUCGACGGUAAGUUACAUGUUCAGGCGUCAAGCAAGAUCUAUAACCUCUAUGGUUAUCUGCCACAAUUGUACUCUAAAAUGUAUAUCCACUAACAAAACUAAUGUGUAUGCUAAUGCAAUUAAUGUAAUGAAUGUUGGUAUAAAACAAUUUUAGGUACUUUAACCCCUAAAACGUGCAAGUUAUUGUUGCUUUGCAGUAGUUUGAAUUUAUGCAUUUGUUUGAUUGUAUAAAUUCGUUAUUUCAGUGCAUAGCUCAUAUAGUAUAAUUUUUUGUGACAAUUAUCACGCCCCUCACCACCAAGAAAUCAACGCUUUUUGGCAAAGAGCAUUAUAUGUUAUAGGAAACUUUUGUAGCCAGAUAGUGCUUUUCUUCUUAUACCAACUUCUGCAGUUGUCGCUAAUUUUCACCUGAACAUUCUUGCAGCACAACAUAAAAUGUACGUCAAUAACUGGCAGUCGCUUUUAUUGGUGGCUGUGGAACUUGACAGGCCGCUAUGUUGCCUUCUUCAACACCUAAAUACAAAAAGAAAAGGCCUACAGAAUUAUUGCCUUUUAUAUAUGAUAUGAUAAUAACAGAAGCACCACAGCAGAAAAAUGCACACAGAAUUUGCGCAUUAUUCAAUUCUUAAAGUCAAUUGCUGGGCCUGAUGUUGUAUUCACAGGAUCCAGGGUCUCUGCGGUUGCAGGGCCAACGGGCCCAUGCGGUAAAUGGCCUUAGAUUGGGCUCGAUGGGCCGGAUCUUGGGGCCUUGCACUGGACGGUGCAGCGGACCUGCCAACCACACCGGCCCCCAUCAAUAUUCAUAACUCCUCUUUUCUCCCAUUGACAGGUUUGAAUUCAGUAUAUUUCAACCGAAGAAGUACGGUUAGGCAGCCACAAACCAAGAAGCAUCGGCUUGUUAUUGUUCACGAAUCUAACAAAGCACAAAAACCUAUAAUUAUACCCUACUUAUCUAUACGAAUAUCCAUUCCUGAGAAUCUGGUUUUCAGACUAAAUAACGGAAGUAACUAAUUAGCAGCAACCACCCCACCCCCCCGAACAGCAUGGCAUAGGGAUAAAAGUGACAGUAGAAUGCACAUUUGUCGAUUGCAAACAUGCAUCGGUUUCACCACCAUGUCCAAGGAGUAACUGCAUCUUCGCAAUUAAUAGGAUUCCACGCCAAUUUCUGCGUCUUAAAGGCAAUUUCAGGUGACCAGAUAAAUGAACACCAAAAUACUUUAUCUUGGCAGUUGAUACUUUACCAUGUCAUUCUGCCUGCUCAAAGCAGGUAAACUCACACAUCUCAAUGCUCUUCACAGAUCUUCUUAGAGAUCUCUGUUCAAAAGUCGCAACAAUUGAUAAAAAAAGAGUAAGAAAAAAUCAUCGAAAUAAAUGUAAACACGUCUCAAUCUCAUGUAAAGAAUAAUGGUUUCUCCUAUUCUUUUCCUUUUUAAAAGGGAUCAACAAUGAUUCCCCACCUACCCCUUGAUGAUGAUAAUGGUUUCUCCUCUUACAAUAGUAAGUGGCAAAUGUAACGUUUUCCAAUUUAGUCAAAUUAGUGGCUGGAUGUAACGUGUGAGUUCAAAAAACUUCAAUUGAAGUCUCAAACAUCAACCAAUUUAUGCUAUGUAGUCUCCUUCAGGACCUCUACUGAUGCAACUAAGUAUGGAACUUUUUCAUUUCCUUCCAAUAAUUUGCCACACACCUCACCUGCAUGUUCUUGUAGCUUUUGUCUGCCAUCAUCAACAGUCCCUUGAAAUUUGUAGAAAUGGACACCAUCACCCACAAUUAGAUAAUUUUCUCCAAUUAAUGUCCUCGUCAUUGCUCACCCCGCCAGCUCACUUAUCGGGGGACGGUCCAUGAUAUCAGAUGCACCCUUGGCGUUGCUUUGCAGUAGUGGGUCAAUGUCAGGCAACUUGGGAAUCUGCCAAUCGUGAAAAAUCAAUACUUAGCGGCCGAGCCAGGAACUUGAUACAUACAUUAUUUGUGCAAGUACAGUGUGUCAAUAGCAACAUACCUGUGCUAAUAAAUCAAUUGUUCGACGUAAGAGACGAGCUAGAUCACCUUCAUCCAUCGCACAGUCCAUCAUAAUCUCUCUCCAAGUUAGACCAGAAGCCCAGGCUUCAACCAUACCAGAAAAUUGGCUAUCCAAGCAGCAAGGUAUCUGUAAGCCAAAAACAUGGUCCAGUAAUAAAAGUGUAAUUCAGGAAAGAGCGGCAAAGAAAGGAUGGUGCAGGCUUUUAAGCAAAUAUUCAUGUAGCAACUGAGACAGCUCUUGAUUUAGCAACUCACCAUUACUCCAUGCUUUUCCUGAAGUUCUAAGAGUGAGCUUCUUUGAUCUGCCAAAAAUUCGAUUACGUUGGUCACAGUGGAGGAAGCUUCAUAUAUAUAGCUGCAGACCAGACAAAAUGUUAAUACAUGCAUUAUUAUUUUUGUUACUAACCAUGCAAAUCUCCACUUAUAAGAUAAUUACUUACUGAAUCAAAUAGGAACACCAUUAUUCUGGACUCUCACAUCAUCCCAGAGAUCUUAAACUAGUCAGAAUUCUAAGAGAUUACAUACUCAUCCGAGAGUAACAAAGAUACCUGUUAUUUUUCCAGGGCCUGAUCUUAAUCCCUUCAGAAACUAGGCUUCCACAGACAGCAGCAAACUGUGCAGGUUUUAGAUCCAGCAAUAUCUUGUUUCGAAGAACCAUAGCAAGCCAGAGUUCAUUUUCUCCCCGAAUUGCAGCUGCAGUUUCACCCAGGGGGAAUAUGACGUGUGUGUUUAUAUCCAAGGCCCUAGCUUCAUGUAUGACAUUGCUGACCUGAAAGAUGUCAAGAACUUGUUUAGGCGGGAAAAACAUAGUUUUAGCUGUCCAAGGAUAUUCUGAUAAAGUUGACAAGUAAUCCUUGGCAGAAAAUAUUUGGUAAUAUAAUUAUCUUUAUCAAGUAACUGACCAAUAAAAUACAGAUGAAUAAAUAAAAUGGAACUUUAAGAGGAAAUUUCUGUUAUCUAUUCUCAAAAGUUGAAGCAAAAGAUUUCUAGGUCUUGCAGUACAACUUUUUGAACAGCUACCGUUUUACAAACAGAAAUCAGGUCAACUAUUCUGAAUGAAACAGCUCCUGCACUCUUAAUAGACAGGAAACAUCUAUGAAUUGCAUCCUUUACUCCUCAAAACAUGUUGGAAAAUGAGCAAUAACUUCUAGAGUAAUUCUAUAUCAAUUUACAAAAUGAAUUAUCCAGAAUGUGCUAGUGAAUGCAUUUCGAUUGUAAAGUACUGAGUUUCACUGCCCAACUCUGGUGCCUAUUUAAGUGUGGAAGAAUUCUUACAUUCUUAUCUUUGUCAAAACAUAUCAAAAAUCAAGUGCACUAUUUCUACCACUGAAAAUCAGAAAUGACACGAAAUACAGGAGAACUGGAAACUUUGGAUGACAGAGCAAUGUCAAGAAAUGGAUACCACUCCAAAGAUAGCUGGGUAGACACUCAAAUUCAAAACCAUUCUACAAAAAAGUCAAAUAGAAUGAUGAAACAAGAAGAUAGAGAACCCUUAAUAUCAUGCAAAUUUCUUUUCCCAACAUCAAACAAAGGUCUGGGUUUGGAGGAAGUAGAUCAUAACCACAAAGACUAAGCUAAGAAAUUAGCGUAUUGCCUUCAGAAGAAGGAUAAGCCUGUCAGUGACAAAGAUAUGAAGAAACAUAACCAGCACACAGCACCUGGGUAUAGCUUGUUACACAUAUAUAUUCCCUAGGAAAUGCAGAGGAAAUCACAACUAACGAUGAAUAACUCCAAUUAUGACCAGAAUGCAAAGCAAAUCAUGGACAACUCCUCAUAUUACCUGCAGAAAUUCCUUCCAACCAGAAGGUUCAAUCUGCUUGAUUCUGUUAGUCAGACGCUUUGAUCUGGCCAUUAAACGUCGAAUCUUUUCUUCAGUAAACUUGGCAAAAUCAGUUAUCUUCUUAUAUUCUUUAAAGCCUUCGCUACGUGCAAUUUUUUUCUUUAAACGGGAGACUCUAUUUCUCUGAUCCUUGUAGCUUUGUACUGCAUCAUAGUAUGCUUGAGAUGGUUUUAGUACCUAGCAAUACAUUAAAAGUUAAACUUGUCAAGCUUGUAUUCAUUAAAAAGUGCAAGAGAAACUCUUUGAUGAAUGAAUCACGAAUACAAAAAUAUGCAGGAAACCUAGCUCAAGUGAAAGUCUCAACCAGAUACACUGUUUUCAUCCUAGACUGAGCCACAUAUCAUGAAGGUCAGUAACCAGAUUAUUGUUGGGGCAAAUAAGCUAGGGUGAGGAUUCUAGAUGGGACAAAGUGCUUUAAGCAGAAAUAUAACUGCAGAUACAUCUUUGAAACAAUUAAAUGAUGCAAGUGAAGUAUUUUCAGGUAAAGUUAGAUGUUGAAGUUAUAGCAAUGAAUCCCCUACCAAACAACAUCACAAAUGCAUGAAGAGAAAUUUCCUUGGUAGUUGGAAUUCAACAAAGUUUGCAGCAUUUUACUAUCACAGUUACCUCAUCAUCUUGUGAAAGACUACUUGAGACUGGCACGUUUAAACUCCAAGACCACGUCUCAAGAGAUCCUUCCAUGCACCACAAACCCCCAAGCUCAGAUUCGACAAGCUUCUGCCACUGCAUGUCCCCCUUGUCAAGAAGUUCUGACAUGAUUACCCGAGGCAAAGUAUCACCUUGAGCCAGGGGAACAUUAGGAAAGCCAGUCCUGUAAACUGUUCUUAUCCACUUUUCCGUGAAAAGAUACCAAGAAUUAUCCGAACCAAGAGCCACAUGAUAAGAUAGUGCAACUUCAUGUUUGCAUCCAGUAUAACCUGAUUGAUAAAUUUGUCUGUCUAAACUUAGUGCAAAAGAAUCUGAACUGCUGACCUGCGUACAAGCAGCAAGACAUAAUUGAAUACUGGCUCUUUAGAAAGGAAAAGACAAAAAAAAAGGUUAAACACACUUGCCAUUUUUUUAAGUUUGGAAGCAUUCAGAGAAUCAAGCUGCCCCAGAUAGACAGCAGGAAGCAGAUGUUGAACCCCAUCAGUAUCAUUAUACUGUAAGCACAUAAAGGGUAAGUGCCCAUCUUCAAGCUCCUUCAACAGAGGUUUCAAAGAAAAGAGUCUCUCCAAUUCCAUUUUUCUUUGUAGAUCAGUCCGCCUACAUUUUUCUGCCUGAGGAAAAAGUGCCACAAUUAAAUUCAAAACCUAAACUAACCAAAAAAAAAAAAAACUAAUGAAAUUUGUGACAGGAGAACCAUCUGAGAAUUCUUGAACUUGCUGAGAAGGACAGCAAAAGAUUAUUCAAGUGCUAAAAGUAAUCCACUGGACAAAGAAGACAAAUUUAGUACUUAUAGUGCAAUGACUGAAUGAGUGUUAACUUAAUGGAAAAUGGUCAACCAGAGACCAUACACAGAGUCUGUCAAAGCAUUCUUAUUAACAGACCGUAGAGGUUCAUUAAAACUGGAAGCAUAAGCAAUGUACGGAAGCCUGACAUACCCUUAGUUCUUCCUGGAGGGUGGCAAUCUCUUUAUAUGCUGAUUGAGACAACAGUUUCUGGCUUUUCCUAUCAAUAGCUUCAUCAGUAAUUUCUGCAGUCAGCAUCUCUAUAUCAUUUUGUAUCCUAGCAAGUUCUUCUUUGGCAGCAAGCAUAACAUUGCUCCCAACAUAAUUUCCAAAACUCUGCUCGACUAACUUCCUCGCUUCUUCUAAAGUCCGGCCUGCUUGUAAGACUUUUAUGUCAUCUGAUUCACUCAUUCUACUUCUAACUUUUGUACCCUGCAUAGUCACGUUUAAUGAAGUACAUCACAUGAAGAUAGCUGGAUUAAUAUGAUGUUGCAUUAAAUAACGUACCGCUAGAAGAUUCAGAACCAUUCCAUAAGAAGCAGUAAACUGUGAUACAAGAGGCUUGAGGCCAGAAAAAAGAAGCUUGAAGCCCUCUUCAGGGCCUUCAUAUGGCGUUUGAACAAGAACUGCAUGACCUCUAUCAUCAAUGCCCCUACGACCAGCACGGCCAGCCAUUUGCAUCAAGUCAUUUGAGCUUAACUGGAUACGUCCACUUUCACCCCUUUUGCUAAGACACGAAAUUACAGCUGUCCUCGCUGGCAUGUUAAUCCCAGCAGCAAGUGUUUCCGUGGCAAAAACAACCUUAACUAGCCCUCUUUGAAACAGCUCCUCUAUGAAAGAUUUCCAUAAGGGAAGGCAGCCAGCAUGAUGAGCUGCAGCCCCUCGGAGAAGACCUUUCACGGAAGAUUCUCUGACAGCAUCAGGAUAUUGAACACGAAACUUCUUCAGUGCCAGUUCAACUUCACUGAUCUCACACUCAUCAAGUAACUUGCAGUCUUCAAGAUACUGCACCGCUGCAUCACAUCCUUUCCUGCUAAAGAUAAACCAAAUUGCAGGAAGCAUAUCCCAUCCCUUAAGCUGCCAUAACGUGUCUACAACUUGAGGGACCUAAAAGAAGAAAAGUAAAACCAUGGACCAGGGAAGAAAAAAAUUAUGAAAUGAGGAUGAUAGUGGAAUGAGAGAGAGAGAGAAGUAAUGAUAGUAACACUAAUAUGUCCAUUUUCAAAAACGAGUAUGUGUUAUGUGCACGGAAUAAGAUGGCAACAGUAUUGUUGCCAACUAAAAGUUGCAUAGCUAAGGUUCAGUCCAUACUUGUGAGCGGCGAGUGGUGUUUACACCAUUCUUUGAAAGUGUAGUUACAUCAUUUUCAUGUUUUCUUGAGUUCCUUCUCCUGGGCCUUUCAUCCUUGGAGAAAUCAGUUCCAGAAGAAUCAGGUUCCAUGCGAUUUAGUGAGAGCCUCCUGUCCCAAUCAAAAGAAAGAAAGUACCAGCAACACAGAAAAUAAUUAGUAUAAAUUUAUUAUUCCUUUUUUCCCAUUUUUUGAGGAUAUCAAGAAAGAGACAUUUGAAAAACACAUUUUAGAUGCAUGAAAUACGUUCAGUGAAUAGACAGAGGAAGUAAUGCUAACUUGAGAACUCUGAUCACCAACUGUUCUGUCUUAUAUCAAACUCAAUUCUGGUGCGGAUCCCAUGACAAAAGUUCUGAGGAAGAUCAAAUAGGAGGAAGAUCUUGGCUCCCAUGGCAAGGUUGGAGAAUGGGACCCUUAUUUUUACAAGAAAUCGAUAAAAGACCCUCUAUGACAAUAAGAAACUUGCAUAUACAGGUGGGUGAGUAACCAAAUUGCCUCAUCGUAUGCAUUUUUUAUCACUAAAUAAAUGAUUAACUAAUAAUGGAUCAUAAACCAAAAAGGCCCCCAACAAUGCCCAGACACACAGUAAAUAGGGGCACAGAAAUUUGUAAAAAUGAAGUACAGCAGGAUGAAGUUCAAUAUCUCAGAAACAUGAGAUAUGUACACAAAAGCAACAACAAUCAGCACAAGAAGACUGCAGGGCCCUUUUGAUGGACCAGCAAAAGAAGAUGAGGCUACCUAUUCAUGCCAGUGCCUUUCUCAUUAAGAAGAGGUAGCAAAGCUGUCUUUGUUGAGAAGUGCCAAGUCAAAGGAACUGGACGCUUGGAUGACGUCACCAACUCGGUUUUACCAUGAAUCUUACAGUAGAAAAUGUAAAAGAAAAGAUAAGGAUCAAAGUCAAUCGCUCCAUUGUCAAAUGAGUCCUUAUUAAAAUUAUGACCGCACCUACAUCUGCCAAGGGUAAUUCAUUUACCUGAUUAAUCCAACCAGCCAGUUCAUCUGGAUUAGCAACAGUUGCUGAGAGGCAUAUGAGUUGCACUUCUUUUGGGCAAUAUAUAACCUGAAAGAGUUUUGGAACAAUUCAUGUGAUAUACUAUAACUAAAACCAUAAAGAGUUUCUGAUGGGAGAGAAGCACGCACAAUCUCUUCCCAAACUGUACCCCGAGAUAUGUCACUCAAAUAAUGCACUUCAUCCAGAACAAUCACAUCAACAUGGAGAAGUCCACUUUCAGAUGAAACAACUCCUACACUGGAAGGCGAGAAUGUUAACUAAAGAAAAGCAUAUCAUCUUUCUAACUAAAUGAAUCUUAAUUAGUUUUGACAAACUUUUCUCGCAUGGUAUGUGGAAACAAUAGAACACUAGCCAGUGUAGGAGUAUGAUUUACCUCUGAUACAGCAUGUUGCGCAAAAUCUCUGUAGUCAUAAUUACAACUUGGGCAUCUUUGUUAAUAGCUGAAUCUCCAGUAAUGAGCCCAAUAUUACUAUCACCAAAUGCUUCACUUCAAAUAGGCCCACAAUAAUUGAUAUACAUGUCUCAGACAAGAAUAUACAAAAUUAACGAUAAAAAUAUAAAUUGAUUGUUAAACUAUUACUUUAAUCAAAUUCCAGACCGGAAUUCACGGAAUUUCUGAUUAGAUAGAGCCUUUAAGGGAGUUGUGUAGAACAAUCUUCUUUCUUUGGCUACUGUGGCAACUGCUGCAGCUUCUGCUAUUAGAGUUUUCCCACUACUGGUUGGUGCAGAAACCACCACUGAUGAUCCUCUCAGGAAUGCUUGAAUUGCCGAUCGCUGCAAACAGGUUCCAAAACUUUAUACUUCUACAAUUAGAUAACACGUAAACAAGUAGAUGACGACCAGAUGUUCAUCUGCAAAAUAUGUUCUUGAAUCACACAAAAUGUGCUAAUAAAUUCGCACACAGUGAUACAGUUUACUGUAAAAGUGUAAAUGCAAAAUAAAGUGGUGUGUGCAUCUAUCAAUAUAUAACCGUGAAUACCAAGAAUUAUGCACUUAAAUAGCAUAUAGCUGCAAAAGAUUCACAAAAUUCUCGAUUUAUUUUCCAUUUUGCUUCAUCUCUAAACAUUUAUGUGAGGCUAAAGGUAAACAAGCGACUAGAAACUCAAAUCAAGUUGGUACGAGAGUUCUUUAUUGACCAAACAAAUCCGAACAAAGUUCAGAUUUUUAAAAGCUUUUAGGCUCUGCUCCAACUAAACUCCAGAAGCAGAAAGCUUAAAGUUCACGUAUGAGAAAUCGAGCUACGCGAACUCAACACGAGUGCUUACCUCAACAAGAUAUCAUUCGAGCUCAGCUCAAGUAAUAAUCGUCCAACACAAGUUUAAGCAAAAUAUACUACGUUUGAGCUCAGCUCAAAUAAUAAUCGUCAAACGCAAUUUUAAGAUGAAUUAGUUUUUCUCUCAAUUGCUUAAUUUAGCUUAAAUUUUUAAGGAAGUUAAACAGGAAGAAGACAAAAGAAAAAAAAAAAGGAACCUGAAAUUUAUCAAUUCUGAAAGAGUAAAUGGAAGCGAGCUCAUCAACAUCGAGAAUUUCAUCGCCGAACACUUUAACUUCGUUACAAAUCCUCGCGAUUCUCUGCCACUUGAAUUCCUCAUGCUUGGACUCCUUACUCUCGGCCACCACGGAAAAACUCUCAAUUUCCUCUUCUUCCUCUUCUUCGCUCACCUCGUGUCGCACGCCGUCGUAUUCAUCAGCCGCAAUAUCUUCAUCGUCGUCCGCAUAUUCAUUAUCAUCCUCCUCUAGUUGCUCUUCGCCUUCGUCUUCGUCUUCUUCGUCGGAGACUUGAGACUCGGCAGGGAAAAUUGAUUUAGGGAGUUUAUAAAAGGUUUUGCCGAAUUUGAGAGGGUUUUUUGAGGUGUGAAGAGUCUUGGGCGAGCAGAAAUUGAAGGCUCGGAAAUGGGGGAGAGUCUGGUAGGGUAGAAAUGGGGAGGACUUCGGUGUGGUGAGUGAGAGAAGGGGAGGGGAGAAGAUGCAGCAGGGUGCGGGCAUGGCGGGAGAGAAAAUGAGCUGUUGUGUUUAUUAUCGUCUCUAUUGAAACAGAUAAUUGUAAGGAUAUUUAUAUUAUGAAUUUCUUCUUUCGGUAAUGUGCCCGGAGUUCGAAUCUCGGCUCGUUUUGACGUUGCUAGACCCCAAUUAAGUAUAAGGUUAAUUAGUAAAAAAGAGUGACACAAUGGUUCGACGGACUCAAGGCACCACACCACUUGAUUUUACCAAAACUAAACUAAUAGUAAUUGAUUUAAUUCAACUUCCUAAAACAAAGACUAUAAUAUAAUCAUUAUCAAAAAAAAAAGACUAUAAUAUAAUAGCAUGGCAUAGCUAUAGUUUCUCGUGUGAACUGCUAUUUUUAGGAAUCUUUAUAAAAAUAUAUAUAUAAUGUAAUAAUUUAGUAUAUAUAAAAAAAAUGAUAGCUAAAUAUGUUCAUGAAAAUUGAACCAAGGCUACAAGCAAAAUUGUUUUCAUAAUGUAUAUUCUGUCGUCACAUUUGAUUAUAUAACAAUUUAUACACACCAUCCAAACAAGUUGAUAAUUAACUUUAGGGUAAAAUACGAGAAACCCCUUGAGAUUAAGUGAGCAUAUAAAAAAAUUUCCUAUAAUUUCAAAAGAUAGACACUAAUAUCUAAUAUCUUGUGAUUUGAACUAAUUUACAAAAGCAGCGGAAAUCAUCUAAAGUAAUGGUUUUGAAAUACACGUGCUUCUUUUGAGAGUAUUUGUAGCAAAAACAAACAAUUUUUAAUUGAUAUACCUAUUAUACCGUUAGAGUUAUAAUAUCAAAAAACCCAUAUGGUUAAACAAACCUACAAAAAUGUCCCUUAUAAUUUUAAAUCAUACAAUCUAAUGUCUUGUGGUUUGAAUUAAUGUGAAAAAUUGACAACAAUCAUUUAAAUUAAAGAGUUUGAGGUUAUUUGACGUGGAAAAUUGUUUUUUAAAUCAAUAUUUUAGCUAAUAUACCUAUCAAACCCCCUAGAACUCAUAAAAUAUUCAAAAACUCCCCAAAACUUUCAAAUACAACUCUCUUUAUUUCAAUACAUACAAUAAACAAAUACUCCAAAAUAAAUUUAUAUACACAAAAUAAAUAAAUAAAAACUUUUAAAUAUAACUUACCUUAUUCUUGUGCAUAAAAUAAAUAAAUAAAAGAAACAUGUAAUCAUAAAGGGCCUUUUUCCGUAGAUUGGUUUAAUCAUAGAAGGCUUUUCCGUAGGUUUGCUUAAUAAGAUCGUUGUAAAAAAGUCUUUUAUUGCCUAUAUAUAUAUAUAUAUAUAUAUAUUAGGCUAAUUGUGUCAUUUAGUCCACCUUUAUUAGUUUUGAUGAUUGCUAUUGCUGUUUCAAAUUAGUUCAAUUAUGAGGGAUCGAAAAUAUAUGAUUUAAAAUCAUAAGAGUCUUUUUCAUAGGUUAAUUUAACCGGAGGGAGUUUUUUUAUAUUUUGCCCUUAACUUUAUUACCAAUUGUCUGCAAUGCAAACGAAUUACCAACAAAGAAAAUAAUAAUCUUAAAAUUGAAUUGCGUCUUAUGCAAUUAUUGAAGCCCCACUCAGCCUUGGGUGGACGAUUUAAUUAUUGUUUGUAAAAACUAAAGGAAGGUCCAACUAAUACCAUAUAUUACGGCGGGCCUGACAGUGGGAUAUAUCACUACACUAUAUUUGCUUUAUGGAUUUAUAUAUGCUUUUUUUUUUCUCUCAUUUAUUUUGCUUUUCUCCGGUCUGAUUCGAUUCUAAUGGUAGUAUUUUACUUGGACAUUUCCUCUCUUUUUUUUUUUCCCAAAAGUUUAUAUUUGUAGCAUUCAAUCUUUGCAAGUGGACUGUGUCUCUCUCGUCCGUCCCAUCGAAUACUACCUAUAGGUUACAGCUGAAAUUCUCAUUUUGUUAUUUAUAGGGAAUAUAUAGUUAAUUCACAUUUCUUCUCCAACGCUCCCACCAAACCAAACAGACGCCCGUCAUAAUUUCCCUGUUCACCAUAUAAAUUUCCCGUCAGCCCAUCCUUAAAAAGAAUAAAACACAAAAAAAAAAAAAGUCAAGCAAACCAACAGCUGAAGAUGGCCCUCUCGACUCACCGGACCACGACCGCUCUCCUACGCCACCUAACUCCUGCUGUCUCCUACCUCCGCCACAUCUCCACCGACUCCACCUCCACAAUCACCGUCGAAACCAGCGUUCCCUUCACCGGCCACAAGAUCGAGCCGCCCUCCCGUUCCGUCGAUACCACAGCACAAGAACUCAUGUCGUUCUUCCGCGACAUGGCCUUGAUGCGCCGGAUGGAAAUUGCCGCCGACUCUCUCUACAAAGCCAAACUCAUCCGCGGUUUCUGCCACCUCUACGACGGCCAGGAAGCGGUGGCGGUCGGCAUGGAAGCCGCCAUCACGAGAAAGGAUUGUAUCAUCACUGCCUACAGAGACCAUUGUAUCUUUCUAGGCCGCGGGGGAACUCUAUUGGAAUCGUUUUCUGAAUUAAUGGGGAGGAAAGAUGGGUGUUCCAAGGGGAAAGGGGGUUCGAUGCAUUUCUAUAAGAAGGAAGGGGGAUUUUACGGAGGACACGGGAUUGUUGGGGCUCAGAUUCCUUUGGGGUGCGGAUUGGCGUUUGCUCAGAAGUAUAAAAAUGAUGAGAAUGUUACUUUUACUUUGUAUGGUGAUGGCGCCGCGAAUCAGGGGCAGUUAUUUGAGGCUUUGAAUAUGGCUGCUCUUUGGGAUCUGCCUGCCAUUUUAGUCUGCGAAAACAAUCACUGUAAACAUCCCAAAAUACCUUUCCUCUUUUGUUCUUUUUAUUGCAUUCAUGGUUGUUAAUUUAUAGCUCGAAAAGUUAUGUUUCUAGUAUGUAGUUUUUUCUUUCAUAGUGGUGGUUGUCGGGUUUUUGUGGAAAAGUAAAAUGCAGUUUGAUUUGUUGUUUGGUGUUAGAGUUUCCAUGUGUACGAGUUUCUCUGAGAAUUUCUUGUCCUGCAUUCUAUUUGAAAGAGGAGGUUUUUGUUUUUGUUGAAUGUUUUUUGGGUAGGAAGACGUGUUAGGUAUUGUGUAUCUGUUAAUGUCUUGGAAUGCUUUCAAAAUUUGAAGGAAGUAAUCUGUUAUUGGGUUGACAGAUGGAAUGGGGACAGCAGAAUGGAGGGCAGCAAAAAGUCCAGCUUACUACAAGAGAGGGGAUUAUGUUCCUGGUUUGAAGGUGCUUUAACAUCGUUACUUGUUUAAUUUUUGCCUUCUUCUGUUAUUGCUACUUACUCAUUUAGUUUUAGUUAACAUAUUUUAGUUCUAAAGUUGUAAGAGUGUAUUUUUGAAUCAAAGCAGUUUGUUAAGAAAGUUAUUCUUGAAAUUUGAUUCAAUGCUUUUGUAAUAAAAUGCAAUAGUACCAUGGUGCAAAUUGCAGCAGCAUUUUCAAUAUACUAGUUUAUGAAGUAAUGUGAUAAUUGCCAUCCUGUUUUUGCCUUGUUUUGGAGGAAAUGGCAUUUGUCAUGUGAAGCAAUUGAAGUUUGGUUGACAACAACAUAAGAUAAAGUGGGGCAGUCAUUAAUUGAAUAAAAGAUUUUGCUUUGAUAACUAGGUUGAUCCCCCACUCAUGACAUGAAAUGUCAAAAAGUUUUUUUCUUUAACCUUUAAAUGGGAGGCUCACUUUGAUAACAAGACAUGAUGCUUGGAAAGUAAUUUCUUUGUAAAUGCUGUAGGUGGUUUACAUAUCGAGUUGUGCAUGGUUUACAUAUCGAGUUGUGCAGAUAGAUUGAAUGUCACUCAACGUGGUAGAUAUUUUUCAACUGCCAUAUAAUGUUCUUGUUGAUUGAUUUUGAAUUGAAGGUAGUAUGAGCACACUUAAAUGAAUAAAGGGAUUAAUUCCACUAAUAUUUCGUUUUGAUCUGUUCAUUUAGAAUCUUACAGAAAGUUAUAGUGGUUCACAUCAUUUGUUUAUCUUGUUUCUAUGAAAAAAAACUGUAAUAGACUUGUUUAUGCGAAAAUUAUUAACUUAUAGAUGGUACCUUUCUUUCCUCUGAUAUUGUUGUUUUCUUUAUGUUUGACGAUUGUACUUGGGAUUUCUCCCCUGAGUCGGGCAUGUGAUGGGAUUUCUCCCGAGUCAGGCAUGUGAAUUGGAAAAGGUUUAUCUUUUUUUGUUUCUGCUUUGCUUUUUUCUUGGGGGGAGGGGUGUGCUACAGGAAUGUUCACAUUUUUCCAGAUCUGUCCUAUAGUCUUUUGGUUUAUUAUACUCCAGGAAAUCAGUAGCCUUAGUGCUUGACAAUCUCAAAAGACAUUGGUCGAUUGAAAGUGUUAAAGAAAUAAAUUAAGAAUGUCAUGGAAUGAUAUGAAAUCAUGUCUGUUCUCUCUUGUUUCUCCAUUGUUCAUAUCGGUUAUCGUUAAUCCUAUAUAUUUGUCCAAGAACAGGUAGAUGGUAUGGAUGCCCUUGCUGUGAAACAGGCAUGCAGAUUUGCCAAGGAACAUGCCCUGAAGAAUGGGCCAAUUGUGAGUAAAACUACAUAGCUUAUUCCCUGUACUUUUCUAAGUAUUGAGUAGAUGUUCGUUAGAUAACUCUUGUCAUUUUCCUUUCUUCCUUUAUUUAUACUUUGAUGUUUCCUUAAGUCUGGACAAUAAGAUCAUACAUUGUUUAUUUAAUUCAUCUUCAAGCAAAAGUGAGGAUAAAGAGAUAUGAUAUAGUGGAACUUAUUAUUGGAUCUAGUUGCUGGUCUAUGUUGUUGUGUCUCUGUAAUCUUAUUGUUGCAAUCUUGUAAUUGAUUGAUUUAUUUACUAGCAAGGGUGAAGAGAGUUGAUGUUGGAAAGCAUUUACAUAAGGAAUGCAGAUAUAGUUUUGAAAUAGUACUUAAUUCUUUUGGUUCUAGAUACUAAAACUAGACUUUUCAUAUCCUAAAUGCUGCAAGGGAAAAACUUGACUACUCUUUAUGUGCUGUUGAGGCUUUUAUGACUGUUGACCUAUCCUGGAGUUAUCAAAUGCUGUGCCGUAUCCAUGGAAUCUUAUGUAUGAAAAUGAUAUCAAGUUUGAUGGUUGAAUAGAAGCGUAAACCAUUAUAUGUUGGAAGAGAACAAAUAAGUAGAGUAUUAUCCAUUUCCUAUGAUUAAGCUUUGGCCUACUAAAGUGUCUAAUGUGUCUACCACAAGGCCAGUCAUUAUUUUUGGAUUAUUUGUAUUAUACUAUUAUGUUUCCUUUCCACUCUUUGUUUUUAGUAUUCAACAUCCCAAUAUGAACUCUUUUAUCAGUCAACUGUUAGAAUUGACACAGUAUCCUGAGAAGAACAGAGUUUCCUUCAACCCACAUGAAAUUUUUUGUAGUUUAGUCAGAAUACCAAGAGAAAAGCUUGAGUGAUGGUUUAUUUGACAAACCGGGGGUUUAUAAUAACAAAUAAGAUGCAAGAAGCAAAGUCAUAUUGGGAAAUUUUGAUCAUCUUUCACUACUAGCAUCUUAAUGUCUUUAUUUCUGCAAGUAAUUUAAACAGGAAACAAAAGAUCCUUGUAGCACAAAUGACCAUGUAGAAUACCCAUAAAAAUAAUGCUUAUUUCCUUUCUCCAGUUGUGUCAGUAAUUGUGCUAUUCGACAUUCAUGCUUUUGGUAAAUUAUCUGCCUGUCAAGUAUAUUUAUGCAUUUAAUGGCUAAUGUAGUUGGAAACAAAGAAAAUUCAAAAUUUCCCACACUCAGCAGCAUGGCACAAAAUCUCUACAUCCUACAACUUUAAUUUUAAACCUAGGAUGACUUUAAUUUCAAGAUGAUCGUCUGGAUAAAGUUAAUGAAUUAGCAUCCAAUGACCAAGUAUUUUAGUAAAUAUUGUGGUUCUCUAUUUAAAUGGUCAAUUUUGUUUUCCAUGUCAGCCAUGGGUGUGUUUUAACUACGGAGCACACUUAAAUUAUAUGAAGUAUAAAGAUGCUUGGAUUGGUUGGCGAGCAUUCAAAGCGCAUCUACUAUACUGUCUCUGUUCACUGAGGAGCAAAAAACUUUUAGGGUUGUGUUGAUAUUUGUCUAAUGCACGUGAAAUUUACAUUCUCCUGAAUCACACUGCUUAAUGCCCAUCAUCAUGCACUAUUGCAUAAGUUGGAUGGGGUUAAAAGGUUAUAUAUGGAUGUGAGUAAAGAUUAUGUGAUGCCAUAAGGAGCUUAUAGAAAACAAAAUUUUGGACUAAGUGCUUAUUCUUUUGGUUGAAAUUUUUGAUGCAAUAUAGCUGUUAAUACAUGGGACAAGCAGUUUGAACCUUUUGCAUGUAUCAUUGGUAGCUUGUACUGUCUGUUUACUUGCUUCAUGUAGCCAGUUUGUCACUUUAUUUGGUAGAAUCUGUGCUAUUACUUUGAGCAUUUGCCAACAAUCCAUAAACUACUAAUGCUAAAGAAUGUGAAGAAAUUUCAUUUUAUUUAACCUUUGUCCUCUUGGUUAUUGUCCAGAUUCUGGAAAUGGACACCUAUCGAUACCAUGGUCACUCUAUGUCUGAUCCUGGAAGUACAUACCGAACCCGUGAUGAGAUCUCUGGCGUGAGACAGGUUGUUAUGUUUCCUAUUGUGUUAGAAAUAUAUUCUCCUUGAUGCUUCACAUACAAACUUAAUAAAUCAACUACUUUUUACUGCAGGAGCGUGAUCCAAUUGAAAGAGUCAGGAAGCUCUUAUUAGCAUAUGAUAUAGCCAAUGAAAAGGAGCUGAAGGUUAAUUUAAUUUGGUUAAUGCUGAUUUAAUGGCUUCAGAAUUUUCAACCUCUUAUAGGCAAUUAAUCUGUCUUUUUUUUUUAAUUGCAUAUAUUUUUCAAGAAUACAUGCAUAAAGAGUUUUGGGGAAUAAUGGGAUAUCAUGAUUGACGGUUGCUUUUUUGGUUUAUUUGCUGAUGUAUUUGAAUUUUUCCAUACCCAGGAUAUUGAAAAAGAAGCGAGAAAACAAGUUGAUGAAGCCAUUGCAAAAGCAAAGGUGAGAAUCAUGACUGAGCACCUAUAACGUGUAUCAUUGGUUUCGACCUUCUCAUACUCGGCUUACUUUUAACUUAGAUGAGCUAGUGCUGAUGUGUCUCUCUCUUUGCAGGAGAGCCCUCUGCCUGAGCCUUCUGAACUGUUCACAAACGUAUAUGUCAAAGGAUACGGGGUGGAGGUAUGAUAGAUUUCAGCUAUGAGUACGGUUUAGGUUUCAUUGCUUGGACUCACAUCUACUGGUUGAUUGUAGUCUUCAUUGUUCAAAUUUGAGCAUAAAUAUUGAUUUAUUUUUGGCUUAGCAUGAGAGUUUCUGGGGUAUUUUUCUUUGUUGGGUGCUUGAUCAAUGUUAAUUUGCACGAUUAUACGAAAUGAAAAGGAAUCUUUGGAUAACUUUUGUUUUUGGUGUAAUAUGAUUUACCCUAAAAGACAAUAGGCCACAUUUUAUCUUAUUUUGUUCCGAAAUAUGGCAACGGAAAUGGAUGAAAACAGAAAAUGAUCCAUAACGUUAGACUUAUUUCUCAACAGGAGAUCUGGUAUUUUAUGAAUAAUGUUUUCAUGUAAUUUCAGAAUUUGUUGUAGAAAGAUUUUUUAUUCAAUUUCAGCCAAUAUCAUAUAGGUUAUGUUGUACCUGUUAUCAUUAUUCCUUGUCUGGGCGGAAAAAAUAUAUGAGAAUCAAGGUGAAGAAGAAAGAAAAGAGAGGAAUUUUCUAUUGGUGGUUGCAUGGCAGAGUUUCAAUAUGGUGGUCGUAUUUGCAUUAACCGAAGGCGUUCUUUUGCAGUCUUUUGGAGCGGACAGGAAAGAAAUUAGAGCUGCACUUCCAUGAAGCAAAAAUUUGAAGGAACCACCUGCUAGGACCAAUGUGAAGCAAAAGAAGAACAUUUUUAGACAAUAAUACUUGCAAAAAUAGAAAGUUUUACGCUAUAUUUGGGAGGACUGGUGCAGUAUUCAUCGACUCCUUUGUUUGGAUGGGAACGGUUCUUCCCUAGUGCUCUUUUUGACAGCUGAGUGGUUGUGAUUUUCUGGAAAGCAAAGCUGAGGGAUUAGGAGAUUCAUUCUGUUCUGUUUUCUUUUUCGAGGAAGUGGGAUGUAUUGAUAAAUGCAUCAAGCAAUUGUCGCGCUUGCAUUUCUGCAGGGGAGUUUUGUCUCUUUUUGUGAGGUUCUUAAAAGAGUCUCUCUGUUACUUUCAAGUGAAAUUUUAUAUCUGUUAAAAGCACUGCUGCACCAGAGUCGUCGGUGGAUACUCACCUUUACUGUCACGGUUUCACUCACAACUCUUUGAAGUGGCCGCCAGACCGCUACAGGUGCAUUAUGUUAUGGCCCUUUGUGGAAGACCUUACAAAUCAUGCAUUUUAUUCAUUUUUGCCGCUGCCAUAAAUGUUUGUUUAGUUCACAAACUCGCUUUAAAAAGAAAUGCGAAUGAUAUGCGUGGAGACACGCUCGUCUAAAAUUGAGCACUCCCAAAUGAUUCUUGGAUGAUGUGGCUAUGGUAAGCUCGUUAACCCGUUCUCUUUUCCGCUGGUCGUCCGGCCUUUUUAAUUUAUAUAAAAAAAUAAUAAUAUAUUUUUCUCUAGGGAGGAGAAAAGGUUCUCUCCUGAUAUGCUGCCCCCUUUUACUUAUUAUAACAUCAUUAUUAUACAAGUAUGUACCAUAAAAUUAAUAUUAUUACUUUUUUUUUUUUUUGGGGUAAGCAUGUGGGAGUACCACAAAAUGCAGUACGGAAAGGGGGAACAUUUGUGGGGAUGCGCUUAAAGCCUUUGCAACAGCGAAACAGCUUUCAGAGUUUGGUCCUUGGCUGCUGCUGCUAUAGUCAGGCACGUCUCUCCAGACAAGUUGGCUCUGCAUGACAGAAUCUAUGGAAAAUUGGGAGUGGUUAAAAACGAAAUAAAUAAAUUAGGCGAAGCAAAGCAAAUAUGUCCACAUGCCAUAUCAUCUUUUGCCAAAUAUAUAUUAAUAAUGUUUAUUGAUAGACCCCGCAGCCAGCGGGAUUGAGUGAAAUUGAACCAGCAGCAGUGUACGAGAUGGUAAAUUACAGCCUCCUCAAACGUAUCGUUGCUGACCAAAAAAAAAGAGUCCCUGCCUGAGUUAACAGCGUAGUACUAUGGCGUAGAGAAAAAUUAUUCGAGUUAGAAUCAUGCCAUCUUCCAAACUUACACAUUCGAAAAGGAGUUUUUGUUUUAGCCUUUUCAACUUCCACCGGAUGCAAUUAGGCCCGUCAACAGUCCGGGUGUAAGUCCGGAUCCGGCAAAUUAUUUCGGGGUACAAGUACGUACGGAUUUAAUUUCAUUAUUUGGAUUUGGAUUCGACUCGAAUCCAUUUUGUCAAAAAAAAAUGGAUCAAAUAUGGAAUAUAGUAUUUCGAUCCGGACCAUCGAAUAAACGGAUCGAAUUCAAAUUCGAUAUAAUAUGUCGGAUGCGGGUCCGAAAUAAUGAAUUCCGGCCUGUUGACGGGCUAGAUGCAAUCAAUCACUCGAAAACGUACCAUAAUAGAGUUAGAUACGAGACAUUAUUGUCUCGGGUCAUAUUAUACCGAAGUAGAUGUUCUAGUGCUUUCCUUUCAUUCGUCUACCCACCCCAGGUCCAGAUCAAAUAUUACUGCAAUCCAAAUAUUGCUACUACUUUCACGCUAUUAAUUAGUCAUAUACAUGGGGAGUUACACCUGGCUUAAUGGUUACAACAAUAAUCCAGUGCGUAUGAGUAAUCAUGGAACAGAAUCGAUUUAAAUGCAACAAGGCAUUAAAAGAAAAAAAAGGAAGAGGAUCAAGAAAAACCAGGAGGAUCCUGAAAUGAUCUGGCAAGUUGGAUUUGGGUUACCCAGACCAAUUAAGUAAGCGACAAUGCUAAACUGGCUUGGACUUCCUUCCCUGUUAGUUCCUCCGCCUCGUUUUACAUUUAUUCCCUUCUGGGCCGGCGGUCAGAACACAUAUAAAAACUCGAAUGGGGACAAGAAAUGCUGCACCACCCUCCGACAGGUUUGCAGUUUGCACCGCACCAGUGCACUCGAUCGACUCAACCCCUGCGUUG